RNAcentral lists this ribosomal RNA (978 nucleotides) under uncultured archaeon. RNAcentral describes it as "bacterial SSU rRNA". It matches the Rfam family "Archaeal small subunit ribosomal RNA", at positions 405 to 1389 of the family's 1478-position model. The record is from RNAcentral.
AGAACGCUCAAUAGCAAUGGAGAGCAAGGCCAAGGUAAGACCAGUGCAAUCACCAGGGGACACACCAGCGGCUUGGGUUGUAACCGUUAUUAUUGGGUCUAAAGGGUCCGUAGCCGGCCGGAUAAGUCUCUUGAGAAAUCCAGCAGCUCAACUGUUGGGCUUUCAGGAGAUACUGUUCGGCUCGAGGCCGGGAGAGGUGAGAGGUACUUCAGGGGUAGGGGUGAAAUCUUGUAAUCCUUGAAGGACCACCAGUGGCGAAGGCGUCUCACCAGAACGGACCUGACGGCAAGGGACGAAAGCUAGGGGCACGAACCGGAUUAGAUACCCGGGUAGUCCUAGCCGUAAACGAUACUCGCUAGGUGUCGGCCACGGUGCGACCGUUGUCGGUGCCGUAGGGAAGCCGUGAAGCGAGCCACCUGGGAAGUACGGCCGCAAGGCUGAAACUUAAAGGAAUUGGCGGGGGAGCACCACAACGGGUGGAGCUUGCGGUUUAAUUGGAUUCAACGCCGGAAAUCUUACCGGGACCGACAGCAACAUGAAGGCCAGGCUGAGGACUUUGCCGGAUUAGCUGAGAGGUGGUGCAUGGCCGUCGUCAGUUCGUACUGUGAAGCAUCCUGUUAAGUCAGGCAACGAGCGAGACCCACGCCCACAGUUGCCUGCGUACUCUCCGGAGUGACGGGUACACUGUGGGGACCGCCGCUGCUAAAGCGGAGGAAGGAAUGGGCAACGGUAGGUCAGUAUGCCCCGAAUAUCCCGGGCUACACGCGAGCUACAAUGGUUGGUACAAUGGGUAUCUACCCCGAAAGGGGAUGGAAAUCUCCUAAAGCCAAUCUUAGUUCGGAUUGAGGGCUGCAACUCGCCCUCAUGAAGCUGGAAUCCGUAGUAAUCGCGUUUCAACAGAACGCGGUGAAUAUGUCCCUGCUCCUUGCACACACCGCCCGUCAAACCACCCGAGUAGGGUCUGAAUGAGAGCGCUUC